GCAUGAAAAAGUAGUGUCAUGCACCGCCGAUUGGCCGCUAAACGAUCUCUAAUCAUUUCACCGACUUCGGCAUUGGAGAGUGAAGAUGGGAAUAUAUUUGAGUAGUCCAAAAACUGAAAAAGUGUCGGAGGAUGGUGAGAAUGACAGACUAAGAUAUGGCUUGUCAUCAAUGCAAGGAUGGCGUGCAACCAUGGAAGAUGC
This 201-nucleotide unclassified non-coding RNA is filed under the name Hevea brasiliensis (rubber tree). The record is from RNAcentral. Lineage: Eukaryota; Viridiplantae; Streptophyta; Magnoliopsida; Malpighiales; Euphorbiaceae.